Molecule: ribosomal RNA, 260 nt
Filed under: Ophthalmopsylla sp. F302
Lineage: Eukaryota; Metazoa; Arthropoda; Insecta; Siphonaptera; Leptopsyllidae
Description: partial 12S ribosomal RNA
Source: RNAcentral
UUACUAAAGUAGUAAUAGAUAUAAGCUUGAAACUUAAAAAAUUUGGCGGUAUUUUAAUCUUUUCAGAGGAACCUGUUCUGUAAUCGAUAUUCCCCGUUUAAUUUUACUAAGUUAUUUGUAUAUCGUUGUCGAAAGAAUAAAUUUUCUAGUAUUAAAAUUUUAAUAGAUGUCAAAUCAAGGUGCAGUUAAUAACUUAGAAGAAAUGGGUUACAAUAAAUUUAUUUAGAAGUUAAAUAAAGGUGGAUUUGAAAGUAAAUUAA